UACGUAGGUGGCAAGCGUUAUCCGGAAUUAUUGGGCGUAAAGAGCGCGCAGGUGGUUAAUUAAGUCUGAUGUGAAAGCCCACGGCUUAACCGUGGAGGGUCAUUGGAAACUGGUUGACUUGAGUGCAGAAGAGGGAAGUGGAACUCCAUGUGUAGCGGCGAAAUGCGUAGAGAUAUGGAGGAACACCAGUGGCGAAGGCGGCUUCCUGGUCUGCAACUGACACUGAGGCGCGAAAGCGUGGGGAGCAAACAGG
RNAcentral lists this ribosomal RNA (253 nucleotides) under uncultured bacterium. Its description in RNAcentral is "partial 16S ribosomal RNA". It matches the Rfam family "Bacterial small subunit ribosomal RNA", at positions 524 to 776 of the family's 1533-position model. The record is from RNAcentral.